UACGGGAGGCAGCAGUGGGGAAUAUUGCACAAUGGAGGAAACUCUGAUGCAGCGACGCCGCGUGAGUGAGGAAGUAUUUCGGUAUGUAAAGCUCUAUCAGCAGGGAAGAAAAAAAUGACGGUACCUGACUAAGAAGCCCCGGCUAACUACGUGCCAGCAGCCGCGGUAAU
Molecule: ribosomal RNA, 170 nt
Filed under: uncultured rumen bacterium
Lineage: Bacteria
Description: partial 16S ribosomal RNA
Rfam family: Bacterial small subunit ribosomal RNA
Source: RNAcentral